CAUUGAGCGAUGAGAAAGAAGAGUAAAUGCAGUUUCUUCUAUAUAGAGAGCCUGUGGUCGGUGGAAACAGGCAGAGAGCUGCAUUGAAUGGACUUUUGAGCUGAAACAGUGAAGUAACAGUAGCUGUUUCCGUGAUCUUCACGUUAUGAAGAAGAGUGGCCAAAUACGGCAACUAGGGUGGUACCGCGGAAAAACACAUCAUUCGUCCCUUUU
This 213-nucleotide non-coding RNA is filed under the name Planococcus massiliensis. RNAcentral describes it as "T-box". It matches the Rfam family "T-box leader". Rfam says of the family: Uncharged tRNA acts as the effector for transcription antitermination of genes in the T-box leader family. T-boxes are found upstream of many aminoacyl-tRNA synthetase genes and some amino acid biosynthetic genes usually in Gram-positive bacteria. The anticodon of a specific tRNA base pairs to a specifier sequence within the T-box motif, and the NCCA acceptor tail of the tRNA base pairs to a conserved bulge in the T-box antiterminator hairpin. The record is from RNAcentral. RNAcentral also lists the same sequence under 1 other name. Lineage: Bacteria; Bacillati; Bacillota; Bacilli; Caryophanales; Caryophanaceae.